This is a long non-coding RNA of Pipra filicauda (Wire-tailed manakin), 332 nucleotides long. RefSeq lists it as uncharacterized. The transcript has 4 exons. The record is from RefSeq and is a predicted model, not a curated record. NCBI's taxonomy places the organism in Eukaryota, Metazoa, Chordata, Aves, Passeriformes, Pipridae.
GGAUGAAACGUGACAAUUAUGACAUGAUACCAUGAGAGGCAGUGAUCUCCCUCGCCUUUAAGCUUGACCAACGCAUCCUUUCAGCAGCAAGAAUGAGUCUUCCUUAUAUGCACGUCCUUGCAAGCAAAUGACACUGGCUUCUGCCCACAACAGCAAGUGAACAAAAGCAUGUUGUUCCAGCAAGUACUUCACAAGUAGUAAGGAAAAUGAAUUCAGCAGCAAUAAAUAAAGGUGCUGUUCACAAGAAGACACUCAUAUUGCUGAUGUGCAACAUCACAUGAACGUGAGGGAAACAUCCAGACUUUAUGCAUCAAGGAUGACAGAAAGUGGAC